Long non-coding RNA from Anguilla rostrata (American eel), 1683 nucleotides. RefSeq lists it as uncharacterized. The record is from RefSeq and is a predicted model, not a curated record. NCBI's taxonomy places the organism in Eukaryota, Metazoa, Chordata, Actinopteri, Anguilliformes, Anguillidae. The transcript has 2 exons.
UGUGUGUGCGUGCGUGUGCUGCAUGUGUAAUGUGUAUGUGUUGCAUGUGUAAUGUGUGUGUGUGCGUGUGUGUGUGUGAGUGUGUGAGUGUGUGCGUUUAUCUGUAAGGUGUGUGUGCGUGUGUGUGUGGCAUGUGUAAUGUGUGUGUGUGUGUGUGUGUGUGAGUGUGUGCGUUUAUCUGUAAGGUGUGUGUGCGUGUGUGUGUGGCAUGUGUAAUGUGUGUGUGUGUGUGUGUGUGAGUGUGUGCGUUUAUCUGUAAGGUGUGUGUGUGUGUGUGGCAUGUUGUGUGAGUGUGUGUGUGUGUGUGUGUGUGUGUGUGUGCUUAUAUAAAAAAGAAUGUUUAAGCUUCACAUGUUCUUCUGCAUGACAGUGAUUCUGAGCAAUACUGGCCUGUGACAUUUCCACAAGAUGAGCUGUGAUUCUUUCUGCUGGAGGCACAGCUAUCCAACCCAGGGGCACCAACAGGGAUUUUGGGCCCUAUGAAAAAGAUCUCACACUGGGCCCACCACUCCAGAAAAUCCUAUAUUCUAAAAAAAAUUUUGAGAGCCCCUAUCAGUCAGGGCGCUUGGAAUUGAACUCUGAAUUGUACUGGUACCUUUGACCAACCAUGUUAGUGGAGCUUGCUAUUAUCAUCAAAAUCACUUUGAAAUUUGUACUUUUAAAAAAAAACACUGUUACUCGCAUGUAAUGAUGUCAAAGUACUGACUGAAUACAGCCUUGGUGAUGUAAACGUAGCAGGUUGGAAAAAAAAGACCUCAAGAAAUUCCAAGCUUCCUACUCAAUUUGUUUUACCUAUGUCCAAACGCACUUUAUUAACGUAAAAUAAGACCUCAACGCAGGCCAACUGCUUUGUUAAGUAACAACUUGAAGCAAGUGUUACGUAGAAUUAUGAGUUGGGUAGUCAAUGAGGUGAAUGAAAAGCAGAACAGAGGAUUAAUAGAUGACACUUCACUUGAACUAUAUGCCAUAAAGCCUAUGUAACACUUCCGUUAGCAUGGCAUAACAUGCCAUAAGCAGCUAUAACAGCAUUUUACAGCUCAUGAAUAAUGUCAUAAUAUAUGCACUGAUUUUUACAAACUUUAUCAAGUUCAUAAUAACUGUUAGAAAAUUAUUACUGUUUAUGUUAUGACAUUGUUAUGACAUGGCUGUCGGAAAGCUCUAAUACACUGUCAGGACUGGUUAUGACAGCUGCUAUGUCAUCCUUAUGACAGCUGCUAUGUCAUGCUUAUGACAGUAUCAUAUAUGCUGAAUGACCUAUAGUUCAAGUAACAUUACAGAAUCAUACGUUAUCUUUACCAAACCCCUUCAGUGAUGCCUCUGCAAUUCAGGUUUAAAAAAAAGAUUCUAAUGUUCCUUUUGUCUCACAUAAACACACAGUUCUGGUAACACAUGCAUCUUGUGAACUAUAGAGAUUUUUUAUGUUCCAUAAUGAGAUAGUCCAGGUGUGUCAUACAACUUAAGAGUCAUCUUUGCAGUGCUAUUGAACUUAUUUUUGUAACUCUGGAUACAACCAGAGCAUGCCAUUUAUCACAUUAUCCUAUAGUAAAAUGUUGAAUAAUGCUUGGUGUAAUAUUAAGAGAACUAUAUCAUUUUAAGCAGUUUUUUUCGGCUAAAAUGUAUAUAUUUGUACAAACUGUAAUGACUGCUUUUUAAAACCUACCAAAUAAAAUGUUGCUAACAUAG